CAGUCGAGCGAACAGACGAGGAGCUUGCUCCUCUGACGUUAGCGGCGGACGGGUGAGUAACACGUGGAUAACCUACCUAUAAGACUGGGAUAACUUCGGGAAACCGGAGCUAAUACCGGAUAAUAUAUUGAACCGCAUGGUUCAAUAGUGAAAGACGGUUUUGCUGUCACUUAUAGAUGGAUCCGCGCCGCAUUAGCUAGUUGGUAAGGUAACGGCUUACCAAGGCAACGAUGCGUAGCCGACCUGAGAGGGUGAUCGGCCACACUGGAACUGAGACACGGUCCAGACUCCUACGGGAGGCAGCAGUAGGGAAUCUUCCGCAAUGGGCGAAAGCCUGACGGAGCAACGCCGCGUGAGUGAUGAAGGUCUUCGGAUCGUAAAACUCUGUUAUUAGGGAAGAACAAAUGUGUAAGUAACUAUGCACGUCUUGACGGUACCUAAUCAGAAAGCCACGGCUAACUACGUGCCAGCAGCCGCGGUAAUACGUAGGUGGCAAGCGUUAUCCGGAAUUAUUGGGCGUAAAGCGCGCGUAGGCGGUUUUUUAAGUCUGAUGUGAAAGCCCACGGCUCAACCGUGGAGGGUCAUUGGAAACUGGAAAACUUGAGUGCAGAAGAGGAAAGUGGAAUUCCAUGUGUAGCGGUGAAAUGCGCAGAGAUAUGGAGGAACACCAGUGGCGAAGGCGACUUUCUGGUCUGUAACU
Molecule: ribosomal RNA, 700 nt
Filed under: uncultured bacterium
Lineage: Bacteria
Description: bacterial SSU rRNA
Rfam family: Bacterial small subunit ribosomal RNA
Source: RNAcentral